AGUCGAGCGGAGAUGAGGUGCUUGCACCUUAUCUUAGCGGCGGACGGGUGAGUAAUGCUUAGGAAUCUGCCUAUUAGUGGGGGACAACAUUCCGAAAGGAAUGCUAAUACCGCAUACGCCCUACGGGGGAAAGCAGGGGAUCUUCGGACCUUGCGCUAAUAGAUGAGCCUAAGUCGGAUUAGCUAGUUGGUGGGGUAAAGGCCUACCAAGGCGACGAUCUGUAGCGGGUCUGAGAGGAUGAUCCGCCACACUGGGACUGAGACACGGCCCAGACUCCUACGGGAGGCAGCAGUGGGGAAUAUUGGACAAUGGGCGGAAGCCUGAUCCAGCCAUGCCGCGUGUGUGAAGAAGGCCUUUUGGUUGUAAAGCACUUUAAGCGAGGAGGAGGCUACUUAGAUUAAUACUCUAGGAUAGUGGACGUUACUCGCAGAAUAAGCACCGGCUAACUCUGUGCCAGCAGCCGCGGUAAUACAGAGGGUGCGAGCGUUAAUCGGAUUUACUGGGCGUAAAGCGUGCGUAGGCGGCUGAUUAAGUCGGAUGUGAAAUCCCUGAGCUUAACUUAGGAAUUGCAUUCGAUACUGGUCAGCUAGAGUAUGGGAGAGGAUGGUAGAAUUCCAGGUGUAGCGGUGAAAUGCGUAGAGAUCUGGAGGAAUACCGAUGGCGAAGGCAGCCAUCUGGCCUAAUACUGACGCUGAGGUACGAAAGCAUGGGGAGCAACAGGAUUAGAUACCCUGGUAGUCCAUGCCGUAACGAUGUCUACUAGCCGUUGGGGCCUUUGAG
Molecule: ribosomal RNA, 780 nt
Filed under: Acinetobacter sp.
Lineage: Bacteria; Pseudomonadati; Pseudomonadota; Gammaproteobacteria; Moraxellales; Moraxellaceae
Description: bacterial SSU rRNA
Rfam family: Bacterial small subunit ribosomal RNA
Source: RNAcentral